AUAUACCUAAUAUUGGUACAAUAAUAUAUUAUUGGUAUAUAUAAUUAUAAGCGCAAAAAAUAAGUCCAGCAGGUUUAUAGUAAUGGCGAUAGCAAUUUUAAAUAUACAUUUUAUAUUCAAUCCGUUUAUUAUUUUACAAAUUUAUUAGUAAAUAUAUUGUUUAUUAUUUUAUAAUAUUUGUUUAACACCAAGUAUAAAAUCUCAUUUAUAACGCGGAAACCUAUUUCCUGGUCGUUGGAAUUUGUAUUACCAAAUAUAAUAAUAAAACCAAUUUGUGAGUUGAAAUCUUUAUUAUUGGUAAAAAACCCGUCGACAAAUAUAAAAAGAUUCGUUUUUUCGAAUUUACCGGAACGUAAAAUAACCAUUUUUGCGCGUUUUCCCUUAACCAAUUUAUACGUUUAUUUAUUUAUUUAUAAUUUUUACAAUGUGGUUUUAUUAUUCGCGCGGCCGCGGCGAAAUUAAAUACCGUUUCCGGUUUAUAACUUAAUAUAACGUACGUUUUUCGCAUUUUUACAUAAUAAAUUCGUAUUUUAAUUUUAAUUAAUUCGGUUUUAUUAUUUCUAACUUAUUAAUUUGAUUUUGUUAACAAAGGUCUAGAAGGAAUUGGUAGAGUUUGGUUUAAUAACCGUUAAAAUAUUAUUUGUUUUUUAAUUUUAUAAUUGUUAAUAAUUUUGUUUGAAAACUUGUUUUUUCGAGUUUUUAUUAUUUGUCUCUAAUAAACUUUUUAUUUUCCAAAUUAACCGUAUCAUUUAUUUGCAUUUUUAUUAAAGCAAAAUUGUUUCCCGGUUGGGAAAAAACAAAUAUAGGUUAUAAUUUAAUGGAACGUAAUCUAGGCGAUUUUAUGAUAUUAUUAAUAAAUAACGAACUAAUAUAAUCCCGUUCCGGCAGAACCGUAUAAGGGUUUAAAAAAUUUAAAAACCGUGUUUUUCAAAAAUUGGUAUUUAAUUCUUUUUAAUAUACGCACCAAAAUACUUUUUCAACACGUUAUAAAAUUUUAUAUAUAAAUUUGGUUAGUAUUUCGGAAUAUAAAACUAUAUCCGCGUCUUUUUAAAACCGGUAUAAACGUUAAUAUAAACCGUUGGUUACACCGUAUAAUUGUGGGUAAUUAUGUAAAUAAAACUCUUUUAUUUAUUAUUAUUAUAAUUUUAUAUUAUAAAACGUAAUUAUUUAUAUAAUUGUUCGGGUAAUUUGCUAAUUUUAUUAAUAAAACGCGAUUUAAAAGUUUUUUACUAGUUUUUAAAUUGGCUUUUCUCCAGCGGUUAUAAUAGUUUUGUAAUUAACAAUAUAUUAAUUUCACGUUAUAUAAAGUUUUGGAAUAGUUUGGUUGGAUUUUAAGUCUCUUUUCCUAUUUAUAUUUAAUCGGCAAUUUGUAAGUUUAUAUUCUUUUUAUUACGUAUUAAUAUAUAGCUAUUUCGCGGGUAAUCUUUCAACUUUUUCAUUUGUUAUUAUUCCGUUUUUUUAAAGCUCGAUCCCGUAUUUCAAACUUUUUCGUUUUCGGGUAUUAUUUUCGGUAAUAAUUCGUAAACUAUUAUUUCAGUUUCGGGUUCUUUUUACUUAUAUUAAAACAAGAACUGUUAAUAUCUUAUUUAUUAUUCUUUUUGUUUUUUUCUUUAGUUGUUUGGGUUUUAAAUAAUCGAAUUUCAGAUUUUUCGGCGUGAGUUUUUCGCCUGGGUUCUUUUAUUUGUUAAAACAAUUAUACGGUUUUACAUGCGUAUUUCGGAACGUAAAAGGCCUUUUUAUUAUACUAACCGUUAUAAAAAUACUUGUUAUAUUUAAUAUUUUAUAAAGUCAGGUCCAUUUAUAUAUUAUUUAUAUAUCAAAACCUUAGAUUCUAAUUAUUAUUAUUAUUAUUGGUAAUCUUUUUAUAUUCGGGCCGUUUUUCAUUUCAAACGUUUUAUUAAUUUGUUUUUAGUUAUUAUUUUUCGUAAUUCUCUAUUAUUUUAUUAAUAAUUUCUGCGCGUUAUAUUUGGUUUUUAAAAAGAGCCGAACCGUGGGUAGUCCGUGGUAUAACCCCAAAUAUUAAUAAAAUCGAUAUAAAACCGCUUAUUCCCGCGGUAUUAUUUACUCUUUUUACCGCUGUUUAUAAUAUUACCGGUUAUAUUAUAUUUUUAUAUCCGAUUUUAUCCAUUUCGUAGGUUUUCCGUAACAGUUUAUAAUUACGUUCGAUUUUAUUUAAUAACCAAUACGCUUUUAUUAAUAUUUGGUUAUAUAUUGUUUCAAAAAAACGUGUUUUUAUUUUAAAAUUUAAAAUUGUAAAAUUGGUAUAUAAUUUGUAAAUAACAAUAUUUGGGGCUUUCAAAUACGCAUUUAUCCAGUAUUUUUUAAUACUUCGCAUAUUUUUUUGAUUAAUACGUUAUUAAAAAAACGCUUUGUUUGGAAUAUAAUAUUCGCGUUAAUUAUAUAUACAUUUCGUUAAAAAUUUCAAUAUAUAAUAUUAACGCCAAUUUUGUAAUUAAAAUUUAUAUUAUUUUGUAAGGGAAAUUUAUAACGUUAUAAAACGUUUUUUUUAUCUGGUAAUAAUGGUAGAAACAGUUUAUUAAUUCCAAUAUAUCCCAGUUUAUUUUAUAAUUUAUUAUUUGCAAUAUUUUAUAUAAACGUUCUAUAAACGGGAUGUUAAAUUUUCAAUGCGUUAUUCGUAAUUAUUUUAAUAAAAAUAAUUAUUAUUAAAUUUACGUUUUUCGUAAAAUAUAUCGCCGGUUUUUUUGGUUCCGUUCCAGGUAAAUAGAAUUAUAAAUAUUUCCAUCUGCGUAAAAUUGAUAUUUUAAUAUUAUUAAUCUUUACAAAUUCGUUGCUAAUAUUACUUAAAUAUAUACCGAGCUUAUUUAUAUUUAUAAAUAUAUAAUAGAAACAAAAUGUUAAUUAAUAUUACGGGGAAUAUAAUUACGUCGAUUUGGGUAUUUAGCGUUAUUUCUAUUAUUACCGCAAUAUUCUUUUCCUGUUUUAAAAAGUACCGUAAUUUUAUUUAAGUUCGUUUUAUUAAAUUAAAUAUCCGCUUUUCGACGUUGCAAUAUUUUAAUUUGCCUUAUUCCGGCCGUGGAAAUUAUAAUUGCUUUUAUAUUAGGGAUAAUUUUAUACCAAAUUUUGUUUAUAUCCCGUUAAUGCAAAAUUUGGUAUAGACUUUUCUUUUUCCGUUCGUUUAUAAUUUGGAACUUUUUUAUAUUUAUUCCAAUCGGUGCCGGAAUAAUUCGUCGGGUAAAAAUUUAGCGGUUUUGUAACUUAUAAAAUAAAUAAAAAUAUAAUUAUUUUUUAGAAAAAUAACAUUUUAUUUUUUCAACGUUUGUAACGUUAUUUAAAUUGUUAUUUUGUUUUUUUAAUAUUUUGUUUAUUUUCCCAGGUUAUUACAAAUUGGUUAUUUCCGCUUUUUCUUUUCGCUUAACCAUCCCGGAUUUGCCGUUCGCUGAAACGGUGUUUUUUUCAAUAUAAUCGGAACGGCGGUAUUUUAGUUCUCCGUAUAUAUAAUAUUUUUUAUCUGUGGGAAUUUAUUAUUUUUUAUUAUUGCUUUUUUACGCGGGUAACGGUUUUUGCUACGGUUUCCUUUUUUAUAUAAUUUGUAUUUUCGGUUAAAAAAACGUAUUAUAAAUUGCAUAACGUUUUUCAAAUUUUAUAGUAAUUGUAAUUUCGUUCGGCAAUUUUGUAAAAAUAAUCGCCGGAUUUGCAACGAUUAUUUUAAAUUUUCGAACGUUUUUAAUAAUUUUCAAAAUUGUAAUAAUUAUAUAUUUUUUAUAUAUACAUUCGUAUAUUUGUAAUUCUUCUAAUAUAAUUGUUAAAAUUUAGGGUGCCCUUUCCUUUAUUAAUUGAAUUUUGCUUUUGUAUUUUAAAAA
This 3821-nucleotide small RNA is filed under the name Pyricularia oryzae. RNAcentral describes it as "Magnaporthe oryzae sRNA M_BR32_EuGene_00147351". Lineage: Eukaryota; Fungi; Ascomycota; Sordariomycetes; Magnaporthales; Pyriculariaceae. The record is from RNAcentral.